RNAcentral lists this ribosomal RNA (388 nucleotides) under uncultured bacterium. RNAcentral describes it as "bacterial SSU rRNA". It matches the Rfam family "Bacterial small subunit ribosomal RNA", at positions 28 to 417 of the family's 1533-position model. The record is from RNAcentral.
GACGAACGCUGGCGGCGUGCUUAACACAUGCAAGUCGAGCGGUAAGGCCCUUUCGGGGGUACACGAGCGGCGAACGGGUGAGUAACACGUGGGUGACCUGCCCUCAGCUCUGGGAUAAGCCUGGGAAACCGGGUCUAAUACCGGAUAUGACUCCACGACGCAUGUUGUGGGGUGGAAAGCCUUGUGCGGCUGAGGAUGGGCCCGCGGCCUAUCAGCUUGUUGGUGGGGUGANGGCCUACCAAGGCGACGACGGGUAGCCGGCCUGAGAGGGCGACCGGCCACACUGGGACUGAGACACGGCCCAGACUCCUACGGGAGGCAGCAGUGGGGAAUCUUGCGCAAUGGGCGAAAGCCUGACGCAGCGACGCCGCGUGAGGGAUGACGGCCU